Hylaeus volcanicus is the source of this 582-nucleotide long non-coding RNA. RefSeq lists it as uncharacterized. The transcript has 3 exons. Lineage: Eukaryota; Metazoa; Arthropoda; Insecta; Hymenoptera; Colletidae. The record is from RefSeq and is a predicted model, not a curated record.
UGUCAUGAGGUUUGAUUUUGCAGGUGGCAUUUUAAUUUUUUUGAGUUUUUAAAAUAGGUAGGCAUAAUUUGUACGCAUUGUUUAGCCGGUGAAAAAUUAAAAAUGCAUGAAUUAUACAGUUGUUUUGAAGAAGCAAAUUGUUUCUUUAAAUGAAAUAUUUUGAAUUGGGAUAAACCAAUUAUUCAAUUAGUUUUUAAACAUAAUUUUUUCCUUGUUAAUUCUAAAUAGGAAUUUUUGUGAAAAAUUCCAAAAUAUUUCAAAAGUUAUCAUAAUGAUAUGGUAGAAAUCACAAUGUAAAGCUAAUUCAAACUGAUGUUAACCUAUUACCUUCAACUUUCAUUUUAAAAAUCUGCUACCUUGGUACCUAGUAAUUGUUGUAGAAUAAUAUGUUUUCAAAUGUAACACUGGUAAGGAUCUUUAAUCACAAAUUGUUAAUUCUAUAUUCUCAACUGCAACUCGUAUUUUAUAAACUUUCUGACCUAUAUUUUACUUCCCAACCACAAAAAAAACCUUUGUUAAAGUCAAUAAUAUUUUUCGUCUUACGACAAUCAUAGUAUGCUUUAUAAAAGUUUUUAAUUUUAA